RNAcentral lists this unclassified non-coding RNA (348 nucleotides) under soil metagenome. RNAcentral describes it as "partial contains 5.8S ribosomal RNA, internal transcribed spacer 2, and large subunit ribosomal RNA". The stretch from base 1 to 120 matches the Rfam family "5.8S ribosomal RNA", at positions 35 to 154 of the family's 154-position model. The record is from RNAcentral.
GAUGAAGAACGCAGCAAAAUGCGAUAAGUAAUGUGAAUUGCAGAAUUCAGUGAAUCAUCGAAUCUUUGAACGCACAUUGCGCCCGCUGGUAUUCCGGCGGUCAUGCCUGUUCGAGCGUCAUUUCAACCCUCAAGCCCCCGGGUUUGGUGUUGGGGAUCGGCUCUGCCCUUCUGGGCGGUGCCGCCCCCGAAAUACAUUGGCGGUCUCGCUGCAGCCUCCAUUGCGUAGUAGCUAACACCUCGCAACUGGAACGCGGCGCGGCCAUGCCGUAAAACCCCAACUUCUGAAUGUUGACCUCGGAUCAGGUAGGAAUACCCGCUGAACUUAAGCAUAUCAAUAAGCGGAGGA